This is a long non-coding RNA of Mus musculus (house mouse), 253 nucleotides long. RefSeq annotates it as predicted gene, 39592. The transcript has 3 exons. Lineage: Eukaryota; Metazoa; Chordata; Mammalia; Rodentia; Muridae. The record is from RefSeq and is a predicted model, not a curated record.
UUUGCUUUUAAGAGCCAUCGUUAUUUUUCGGAGAUCGUAAAUGAACCUCAAGAAGGUGAGGUUGAAGACCGGAGCCCAUCUGUGUGUAGACGGAACUACUGCGCUCAGCUCAAGGGCAGUCAAGAUUUAAAUGAUGCGUCAGCCCUGGCCGGAGAAGCCGUUUCUGCAGUGGAUAGCAACGCACAAGUGCGGAGAAUAUGUGGUGCUGGGUGCUCAGCCGUACAAUGAAUGAGGACACCAACCUCUUCUCUAA